ACCACCCUUUAAUGUUUGAUGUUCUAACGUUGGCCCCUGACCGGGGUUGCGGACAGUGUCUGGUGGGUAGUUUGACUGGGGCGGUCUCCUCCCAAAGCGUAACGGAGGAGCACGAAGGUUAGCUAAUCCUGGUCGGACAUCAGGAGGUUAGUGCAAUGGCAUAAGCUAGCUUGACUGCGAGCGUGACGGCGCGAGCAGGUGCGAAAGCAGGUCAUAGUGAUCCGGUGGUUCUGAAUGGAAGGGCCAUCGCUCAACGGAUAAAAGGUACUCCGGGGAUAACAGGCUGAUACCGCCCAAGAGUUCAUAUCGACGGCGGUGUUUGGCACCUCGAUGUCGGCUCAUCACAUCCUGGGGCUGAAGUAGGUCCCAAGGGUAUGGCUGUUCGCCAUUUAAAGUGGUACGCGAGCUGGGUUUAGAACGUCGUGAGACAGUUCGGUCCCUAUCUGCCGUGGGCGCUGGAGAAUUGAGGGGGGCUGCUCCUAGUACGAGAGGACCGGAGUGGACGCAUCACUGGUGUUCGGGUUGUCAUGCCAAUGGCACUGCCCGGUAGCUAAAUGCGGAAGAGAUAAGUGCUGAAAGCAUCUAAGCACGAAACUUGCCCCGAGAUGAGUUCUCCCUGAGACUUUAAGUCUCCUGAAGGAACGUUGAAGACGACGACGUUGAUAGGCCGGGUGUGUAAGCGCAGCGAUGCGUUGAGCUAACCGGUACUAAUGAACCGUGAGGCUUAACCUU
This 732-nucleotide ribosomal RNA is filed under the name Klebsiella pneumoniae. Its description in RNAcentral is "partial 23S ribosomal RNA". It matches the Rfam family "Bacterial large subunit ribosomal RNA", at positions 2199 to 2925 of the family's 2925-position model. Lineage: Bacteria; Pseudomonadati; Pseudomonadota; Gammaproteobacteria; Enterobacterales; Enterobacteriaceae. The record is from RNAcentral.